This 101-nucleotide small nuclear RNA is filed under the name Olea europaea subsp. europaea. The record is from RNAcentral. Lineage: Eukaryota; Viridiplantae; Streptophyta; Magnoliopsida; Lamiales; Oleaceae.
AGUACAUCAGCACUCUCAUAUGAAUUGGAACAAUACAGUGAAGAUUAACACCAUCCCUGCACAAAGUGGAAGUGGAAAUCAGCAUGCGUAAAUCAAAAAAU